Molecule: long non-coding RNA, 1012 nt
Organism: Vicia villosa (hairy vetch)
Lineage: Eukaryota; Viridiplantae; Streptophyta; Magnoliopsida; Fabales; Fabaceae
Exons: 4
Source: RefSeq, a predicted model, not a curated record
UAAAAGAAAGGAAAUCAGAUUAGGGAUUAGGUUACAUGAAAUUUUCCUCUUCUUAUCACACGCACGCGAGAAACGGCGGCCGCUCCUCCUCAUUCUCCGAUCACCUUUCCGCGAGCAUCACCGUGACGGUGUUCCGGCCACCACCGCAACGAGUCUUCCUUCAUCUCUGCUCUUAGCUCAAUCUCAAACUCUCUGCUUCAAUCUCUCUUUCCUCGUCGAUUUGCUCUCUCUCGAUUCAGACUUCAUUCACUCUCUGAUUCAACUCAACGACCGGAGAUCAGUCCCCAUGUGUCUUCAAUUUGAUCUUAAAGAUGAUAAAUCCAGGGAAUAUGCUUCGAAACUUCAGUGAUGGUGAUGUGAGAUCACAGAUGUGAAUCGCGAUGUUGAUCAAUGCGAGUUGCUGCGUGUCUGAUAUGAACGCGUUGUUUGUUGGAGUUGCAAUGAAGAGAGGUGCGAUUAAGAUGAAGAACGGAUGAAGAUGAAGACCAGAUUAAAGAACUGUGUUGAUGUUUGUGGACGUGGAAGAUGAUGAAGAAAAUUGAAAUUGUUGUGUCGCGAUGAAGAUUGAAAGGAUCGAAGGUCGAAUCAGAGGGAAGAUUGAAGUGUAUGGAGAUUGAAGAUUGACACCAAGGUGAUGACUAUGCUCUGAGGAAGGUGAAGAUCGGUUUUCUGGAGAUUGAAGAUGAUGAAACGUGAAUGAUUCUAUGAUGACGCUCUAUGGUGAAGAUUGGAGAUGGAGGUUUUCUGAACUCAGAGCUGGAAGUUUGAAGUUCGGUUUAUUCUGAAGUGCAUGGACUUUUGCUGCAGUGAACAAGGGCAAAGUUUGGAGAAUGAAUCAUCAAUCGAAGAUGAAUCAAUUGAAGAUGAAUUAGGAAGCUUCGCUUUUAAGGCAAUUUGGUGUAUUUUUUCUAUGACUGUAACGUAACGUUAGGACAUGGUAAUGAUUCAAUUUUUGUAACGCUUUUAGAUGUAUUGUAAACUUCAAUAGACAAAAUCCUUCAAUUAUUUGAAA